UUUAAAAUGACCACUUUGGCAUUUGAAUCAAAUACCCAGAAUUACCUAAAGCAAAGGUUUAUGCUGGGAGAAUUCCAGAACAGUCUCUUAGGGUUUAGGACCAACCAAGAGAAUGAGCCUGCAGGAGAGGUUGUCCUUCCGUGACCCAAGGGCCUCUGCACUUCAGGAACAUCCAUCUGAGUGUCUGCCACAGGAACUACUGUGUCACAAAACCAUCCAAAAAAUUGCGGAACCCAGGCCUGUUGGGAAACAAAAGUAGCCUUAGUUCAGGAAAGAGUACCCCAUGCAGUGAAACAAUCAAGGACUUGAAAACUCCAUUUCAGUUUCAAGCUCACUCUCCUAUCCAGGCAAUCCAAAAGGAAAUCAGGCCUGAAUAUUCAUUGGAAGGACUGAUGUUGAAGCUGAAACUCCAAUACUUUGCCCACCUGAUGCGAAGGACUGACUCCUUGAAAAAGACCCCAGUGCCUGGAAAGAUUGAAGGCAGGAGGAGAAGGGGAUGGCAGAGGAUGAGAUGGUUGGAUGGCAUCAUCAACUCGAUGGACAUGAGUUUGAGCAAGCUCUGGGAGUUGGUGAUGGACCAUGAAACCUGGCGCGCUGCAAUCCAUGGGGUCACAAAGUCAGACAGGAUUGAGCGACUGAACUGAACUGAACUCCCAUCCAGGGUUGCUGCUGGCUGGGAGACUGCUUUUGGGAAGGAGGUGUGGCGAGGGUCUUCUCUGUUCCCCAGCUGAAGUUUCUUCUCCCACUCACAGCUGCCUCUGGCUCCUUCAGGGUUCACAGGUAAGGGCUGGGGGAGAGGUUCCCAGUGGCUCUCAAGGCUAGAGGUGGUGGUAGGCUAAACACCCUGAAGUGGACACUCCGUCUCUCCUCUGCAGGGCUUGCCUUCCCAGAACUGGUCCCAGAGCUGAUGGACAGAUGGUGGAAGCAGACAUCUGCCUGGGUUGCAGAGCAGUGCAUGCUGGGUAGACUGAACACGUGUGUCUGCCCAUCACUGUGAAGACGAUUUUUCAUUGGGAAGGAAAAAUCUCAUCAGAGGAGGGGAGGAUAUGCACUGCUUUCCCCCUCCCUUAGGUGACCUGGCAUCUCACUUGGGAAUGGGGGAUAAAUAGUUGGCACAUCUUGUCUCAAAGCCAUGCUGUCCAAUAUGACAGCCACUGGUCACGUGUGUCUACCGAGCACAUGAGAUGCGUCCUAAGCAGGGAACACACACUGGCUCUCCACAACUUGGUAUGAAAAAUAAUGUAAAAUCUCUCGUUAACA
Molecule: long non-coding RNA, 1260 nt
Organism: Dama dama (fallow deer)
Lineage: Eukaryota; Metazoa; Chordata; Mammalia; Artiodactyla; Cervidae
Exons: 3
Source: RefSeq, a predicted model, not a curated record